AGGAGAGGAGACCUUUCCUGGCGUCAGAGUGCAGUGAACUUCCUAAAGCUGAGAAAUGGAGACGACAGAUCAUCAGUGAGAUCUCAAAGAAAGUUGCUCAGAUCCAGAACGCGGGUCUGGGGGAGUUCAGGAUUCGGGAUCUGAACGAUGAGAUCAACAAGCUGCUGAGGGAGAAAGGUCACUGGGAGGUCAGGAUCAGAGAGCUGGGAGGACCCGACUACGCCGUAAAUAUCACUCUCAUUG
Non-coding RNA from Plectropomus leopardus (leopard coralgrouper), 243 nucleotides. Lineage: Eukaryota; Metazoa; Chordata; Actinopteri; Perciformes; Serranidae. The record is from RefSeq and is a predicted model, not a curated record.